GCGAACGCUGGCGGCAGGCCUAACACAUGCAAGUCGAACGAACCUUUCGGGGUUAGUGGCGGACGGGCGAGUAACACGUGGGAACGUGCCUUUAGGUUCGGAAUAACUCAGGGAAACUUGUGCUAAUACCGAAUGUGCCCUUCGGGGGAAAGAUUUAUCGCCUUUAGAGCGGCCCGCGUCUGAUUAGCUAGUUGGUUGAGGUAAUGGCUCACCAAGGCGACGAUCAGUAGCUGGUCUGAGAGGAUGAUCAGCCACAUUGGGACUGAGACACGGCCCAAACUCCUACGGGAGGCAGCAGUGGGGAAUCUUGCGCAAUGGGCGAAAGCCUGACGCAGCCAUGCCGCGUGAAUGAUGAAGGUCUUAGGAUUGUAAAAUUCUUUCACCGGGGACGAUAAUGACGGUACCCGGAGAAGAAGCCCCGGCUAACUUCGUG
RNAcentral lists this ribosomal RNA (433 nucleotides) under uncultured bacterium. RNAcentral's name for it is "partial 16S ribosomal RNA". It matches the Rfam family "Bacterial small subunit ribosomal RNA", at positions 29 to 507 of the family's 1533-position model. The record is from RNAcentral.